RNAcentral lists this ribosomal RNA (115 nucleotides) under Jaculus jaculus (lesser Egyptian jerboa). Lineage: Eukaryota; Metazoa; Chordata; Mammalia; Rodentia; Dipodidae. The record is from RNAcentral.
UGCAGCCAUUCCACCCUGAGCAUGCCCAAUUUCAUCUCAUCUAGGAAGCUAAGUAGGGUUGGGCCCAGCUAGUUCUUGGAUGGGCCAUAAAAUGUAAGUGUGUGUGUAUGUGUGU